AUUUCUUGGGCCGCUCCUGCGGAGGUUCCCAGGCUAGGGGUCCAAUCGGAGCUGUAGCCACCAGCCUACACCAGAGCCACAGCAACGCGGGAUCCGAGCCGCGUCUGCAGCCUACACCACAGCUCACGGCAAUGCCGGAUCAUUAACCCACUGAGCAAGGGCAGGGAUCGAACCCAAAACCUCAUGGUUCCUAGUCAGAUUCGUUAACCACUGCACCAUGACGGGAACUCCCUCUUUUGGUAUCUUGAUUUAAAAAGUCAAUUCUCCCUUUUUCUGUUGCCCCUUGAAAGGGAUGUGUCAUUUUCAUGUGGUUGCCUUUAAGAUUUUUCUCUUUGACUUGGGUCUUAAGCAGUCUUCUCUUCCUAUGAUAUUCCUAGGUGUGCUUGUUUAUUUUUUUAUUCUAGUUGGGUUUCACUGAGUAUCUUGCGGGGUGAGAAUUUGUCACCACUUUUGGCAAAAUCUUGGUUAUUAUUCCAUUAAUCAUCGCUUAUUCCCCAUUCCUAGUCCUUCUAGGAUUGCAAUCAAAAGUAUGUAGAGUUUUUCAUUAUGUUCCACAUGUGACUAAAUAGUCUUGUCUAUAUUUUCAGUUAUUUUAUUCCUCUGUGAUUCUAUUUGGAUAUUUAAUAUCACCCUGUUUUACCUUCUCUAAUCCUACAAUCUGUUACAACUACUAUGCUAUUACACCAUCAAAUAGUUUCUAAUUUCAGAUACUAUGUUUUUCAACUCCAGAAUUAAUUUCCAUUUUAUUCAUUUCUCUGGUGAAAUUCUACCUAUUUUCUUUAUGCCUUGUUUUAACAUAUUAGUCAUACUUAUUUUAAACAAUCCUAAUAUCUGUUUAUCUGUAGGUCAUGUAUAUUGUUUGUUUUUUUUCUCUAAAUUUUAUUCAUGUUAACCAGUACGUUUGUUUGUUUUGGUGUGUGUGCCUAGCAGUUUUUUAUUGAAUGCUGAAUAUGAGUGUAAAAAGCUGUCCAGGAGCCACAUAUUAUCUACUUCCAGGAAGAGGUCACCUUUUCCUCUGUUAGCUUGAUAGAGGCAUGCGUAAUCAAAUUGCCUUAAUUGAAAUAGGUGCUGUGCUUAGGCAAGGAUCUUUGUGGUCCUGAUAAGCACCUGGCCCUCUAGAAUUUUCAGUUCAGAACUCAGUGUCUUCUGCACAGUUCCUUCCCAUGGCGGGUCCAAACUCUAAUCUUCAUGCAGCAAGACUGUUAAAACUUCACUCUGCUUUUCAGAAAAUUUCCACUUAAGUUUGUCGUCUUUCCUGGAACGUCCUUGAAUUUGAUAAGUAUUCUGAUGGGGGGAAACUGGCCAGGAGCUUGAAUCCUCCAAUUUGCCAAAGGCUAUUGAAGUACUCUGUCCCUGGCAGGAGUCUUUUGUCUGUUCUUAGACUUUGUAAAUUUCCUCAGGGCAAAGUGACUGUAGGUGCCAGUUCACAGCUCUAAGGAUUUUGUUUUCCAGUCUUAGCCCCUUCAGUUCUUUUUUUUUUUUUUUUUUUUUUUUUUUUUGGUCUUUUUGCUAUUUCUUGGGCCGCUCCCGCGGCAUAUGGAGGUUCCCAGGCUAGGGGUCCAAUCGGAGCUGUAGCUGCCAGCCUACGCCAGAGCCACAGCAUCGUGGGAUCCAAGCCGCAUCUGCGACUCACGGCAACGCCAGAUCCUUAACCCACUGAGCAAGGGCAGGGACCGAACCCACAACCUCAUGGUUCCUAGUCGGAUUCGUUAACCACUGCACCACGACGGGAAUUCCCCCUUCAGUUCUUUUUAUAUCAUCUGCUGUCUCUUAUAUUUUGUAAAGAUACAACAUCUAUAUUUUGAAACUUUUGGUUGUUAGGAAGAAGAGGUCUUACAAUGAAGGCUAUGUUGCCUUCAAUAGAAUUUCCGCUCCUAAGACAAUGUCAAACUCACUGUAUGUUGUGCCCAAAACUGACAGAGGAAUUGUAAAAAUGCACAUAUACA
RNAcentral lists this long non-coding RNA (1946 nucleotides) under Sus scrofa (pig). RNAcentral describes it as "lncRNA (ENSSSCG00045011215.1)". The record is from RNAcentral. Lineage: Eukaryota; Metazoa; Chordata; Mammalia; Artiodactyla; Suidae.